Molecule: long non-coding RNA, 867 nt
Organism: Aedes albopictus (Asian tiger mosquito)
Lineage: Eukaryota; Metazoa; Arthropoda; Insecta; Diptera; Culicidae
Exons: 2
Source: RefSeq, a predicted model, not a curated record
UCGUAAGUACUGUGUAAAAAGAUAGGCCAAGAAACGGUCAAGAAACGUUUUUCUGUCGAAAUUUCUUGAGCCGUACUCAGCUGGAACGGAAUAAUCGAUGAACUUGAUGAUCAUUGAUGACGGUGAUGAUUGUGUCGAUCAAACCAGCUGUCACUUUUUUUCUGCGGGAAAAAUAGCCUGACCGAUUAUUCCCAAAGUAAAAGUGACAUUUCAUUGGCAGGACUAGUUUUUUUUGUGUUUUUUCGAGUGAUCACUCGCAAUCGAGAAACAUUCGCAAUUUUCUCCGACGACAGUCACUCUGGCCGCACCGGUUCGUCAAUGUGCCAAAUUCUGCAAUCCGGCGCAGUGUCAUCCCACCAUGGGGACCGGGACAAUUUGGCCUCGAACGUUAUAAUCCGGCGCCCUGCAAUCAUGCUGCUGCAAACAAGCUAUAGAAGAGGAGUUUGCGAUGUCCACCCGAGCUGGACUGGGAAAUGCGAGAAGGAGGAAGUACCGACAACAUAAACGGAACUAGUCCAAUGCAUCGCAGUAAGAGCUCAGCGGAAAAUAGUCGGACGUGGUUCUUCUGGGGCGGCAAGAAAAGGGAUCAUCUUUUAUGGGAUUGGUAGGUAUGUACAUAUUGCAGUGUUUGUCAAAAUGGAGCAGGUAUUUGGACUACAUACGAUAAAAUGAUCCUGAAAAGAAAACCACGGUAGAAUUCGUUUGUGAGAAGAAGCCUGCAGCAGAGAUUCCGGCCGCAAACUGACAAGAAUGAGGAAUUCGAAAAAAAAAGUAAAUUGAGAGCUAGUGAUGAGAAGAAAUACGCGAAUUAUACAAAAUGGUUUGCGUGAAUAAGUGUGCCAAUAAAAUAAAGCAGGUUUAAAUGUG